This 253-nucleotide ribosomal RNA is filed under the name uncultured bacterium. Its description in RNAcentral is "partial 16S ribosomal RNA". It matches the Rfam family "Bacterial small subunit ribosomal RNA", at positions 524 to 776 of the family's 1533-position model. The record is from RNAcentral.
UACGUAGGGGGCAAGCGUUGUCCGGAUUUAUUGGGCGUAAAGAGCGUGUAGGCGGCUCGAUAAGUCUGCUGUGAAAGUCCAGGGCUCAACCCUGGAAGGCCGGUGGAAACUGUCGGGCUAGAGUCCGGAAGAGGCGAGUGGAAUUCCCGGUGUAGCGGUGAAAUGCGCAGAUAUCGGGAGGAACACCAAUGGCGAAGGCAGCUCGCUGGGACGGUACUGACGCUGAGACGCGAAAGCGUGGGGAGCGAACAGG